GACUGCAUCAAAUGACCAACGGUCUGAGUAUGAGGCACAUCAGGGGCAGAACCAGAGAAGAGAAAGUACGGUGAUGUGGCUGCCCAACAGGAGGUAUCUGACGGUCAGCUCACCCAGACAGCUUCCUCCAGCUCUGAAACAGAUCGACUGAGCACCAGAUGAAGUUGGCAUGGAUGGGAGAUGUGAUGUACAAGAGAAAAGCAAAAAUUACUUGAGUUAUCUCCCCGAAGUCAAAAGUAAUGGGACACGCAGACCCUCCUGA
This 262-nucleotide long non-coding RNA is filed under the name Homo sapiens (human). Its description in RNAcentral is "non-protein coding LINC00601:2". The record is from RNAcentral. Lineage: Eukaryota; Metazoa; Chordata; Mammalia; Primates; Hominidae.